Molecule: ribosomal RNA, 496 nt
Filed under: uncultured bacterium
Lineage: Bacteria
Description: bacterial SSU rRNA
Rfam family: Bacterial small subunit ribosomal RNA
Source: RNAcentral
GAUGAACGCUAGCGGCAGGCCUAAUACAUGCAAGUCGAGGGGUAGAGUUAGCUUGCUAACUUGAGACCGGCGCACGGGUGCGUAACGCGUAUGCAACCUACCUUUAUCUGGGGGAUAGCCCGAAGAAAUUCGGAUUAACACCGCAUAAAAUCACAGUAUCGCAUGAUACAAUGAUCAAAUAUUUAUAGGAUAAAGAUGGGCAUGCGUGUCAUUAGUUAGUUGGCGGGUAACGGCCCACCAAGACCACGAUGACUAGGGGAUCUGAGAGGAUGACCCCCACACUGGUACUGAGACACGGACCAGACUCCUACGGGAGGCAGCAGUAAGGAAUAUUGGUCAAUGGAGGCAACUCUGAACCAGCCAUGCCGCGUGCAGGAAGAAGGCCCUCUGGGUUGUAAACUGCUUUUGACAGGGAACAAGAAGUCCAUGCGUGGAUUAGUGAGUGUACCUGUAGAAUAAGCCACGGCUAACUACGUGCCAGCAGCCGCGGUAAUCG